GACGAAGGGGGCUAGCGUUGUUCGGAAUUACUGGGCGUAAAGAGCGCGUAGGCGGUCUGGUAAGUUGGGAGUGAAAGCCCGGGGCUUAACCUCGGAAUUGCUUUCAAAACUGCCAGGCUAGAGUGUAGUAGGGGAUGAUGGAAUUCCUAGUGUAGAGGUGAAAUUCUUAGAUAUUAGGAGGAACACCGGUGGCGAAGGCGGUCAUCUGGGCUACAACUGACGCUGAGGCGCGAAAGCGUGGGGAGCAAAC
RNAcentral lists this ribosomal RNA (250 nucleotides) under uncultured bacterium. Its description in RNAcentral is "partial 16S ribosomal RNA". It matches the Rfam family "Bacterial small subunit ribosomal RNA", at positions 524 to 773 of the family's 1533-position model. The record is from RNAcentral.